Non-coding RNA from Pelobates cultripes (western spadefoot toad), 873 nucleotides. The record is from the annotation of a GenBank genome assembly. Lineage: Eukaryota; Metazoa; Chordata; Amphibia; Anura; Pelobatidae.
CUGGAUCUGAGCACCGGAUAAAAGCUUUUAUUUUUUUCAGUCCACGAACAUGCAGCCAUGUUGAUACAUGGCAUGUAUUUAAAUACAUGCAAACAUACAUGCACAAACAUAUACAUACUGAUGAACAGAGACACACAGACAUACACACAUUGACAGAUACAGACAAACUCACAGUGUGUAGCUAGUGGUGUAUAUUUGUGAUAGAGUGUGUCUGGCUGUGUGUAUCGGUACCUAUAUAUGCAUCUCUGGCGUCUCAUUGGGUGUGUGUGCGUCUGACUUUAUUUCUGUGUGUAUCUGUGACUGUGUCAAUGUGUGUCUGUGGUUUUGAUGUGUGUGUUGUGGUUGAUGGGUAGGCUGUGUUGUAAGUGUGUGAGGGUGACUGUCUGUGGGGGGUGUGCCUGUGUAUGAUAGUGAAUGUGGCUGUGCCAGGGUGACUGUGGAUAUGUGGCAGGGUGUGUAUGACUGGGUGGCUGUGGCAGGUUGAGUGUAACAGGAUGACAGUGAGAGGGGUUUCUGUAAGGGGGCGAGUGUGUAGAGCUCACCAGGUGUGGGGAGAGGCUGUGUUUCUCUGUCCAGUCUCCCUACACACUUUGUCUAUAUAUGUUUAUUUAGUUACUUUUCUGCAGUCCCCCUACUUCUUACCUGAGAGAGGCGAUCAAACCUUGCUCCUAGUGGGCAGUGGGCAGAGCUGCAGGUCUGCACAUUCUGUGCAUGAAGACCACUGGCAAUGCUCCCUUCUGGUCUUUGACAGCAAAAGAGCAUUGGCACUAAUCUGCACUCACUAAAGUUGCAGACUUUCCGCUCCCUUACUGGAGCUACCAGCACAGGGGGCCCUGCAGACACAGCACAAUGCUUGCAGUACUCAUUUAUCUG